UUUCUUUGUCCAAACCGAAAUAGAAAGAAUAGAAAAGAGGCAAAAAAAAUUAAAACCGAGCUCAAAAAUGAUAUUCCCGCUUCUCUUGUGCUUUGUUCGUCCUGUAACUUUGGAUUUGCGCUCACAGAAAUUCGCAGCUUCGUGGUGCUCUAGCAUCUUCGAUCUCAGAAAAAUUUCAUGUGCUCUUUUUUGAAGCUUUAAACUGGUCUUCGAUCUCACAGAACCCCACUUCGGCGUCGUGUUUGCUCUGGUCUGAAGCUCGGGUCUUCACGGUGCUCUGGUGCUUAGUGGUGUCGUCUUCUUCUCGAGGUUGGGUUCGGCUUCAUGGUGUCGUCUUCUACUCGAGCUGGUCCUCGGCACCGAGAUCUUCAAGUUUGAAGUGCCGUCUAUGCUGGCAUUUUUGUGGGUCUCUAGGAUCCUUGUGUGGGUCAUCUGAAACCCAGCGAGUAUUGUCUAUGGAGGCUGUGUUGCUUAGGACAUGUUGAAGCUGCAAUGGAGAGUAGCCACACUUUGAGCAAAUGCAUUUAUGUUUAAUUUUAUAAUGUAAUUUAGCUUCAUUCCCAAACUGGCUAGAAUAGAAAUGGGAGAACAAAUUCAUUUAUGUUUAAUUGUAUAAUGUAAUUUAACCAGUAUGUACAAGUCUGUGGGUGUUUCAUUUAAUUGAAAAGUUUGUAAAUUUGGGAGAACAGAUUGCAAUAGAAAGUAGAAACUACAAAUAUGAGAAUUAUCUUA
This is a long non-coding RNA of Carya illinoinensis, 732 nucleotides long. RefSeq lists it as uncharacterized. Lineage: Eukaryota; Viridiplantae; Streptophyta; Magnoliopsida; Fagales; Juglandaceae. The transcript has 2 exons. The record is from RefSeq and is a predicted model, not a curated record.